This 514-nucleotide ribosomal RNA is filed under the name uncultured bacterium. Its description in RNAcentral is "bacterial SSU rRNA". It matches the Rfam family "Bacterial small subunit ribosomal RNA", at positions 34 to 518 of the family's 1533-position model. The record is from RNAcentral.
CGCUGGCGGCGUGCCUAAUACAUGCAAGUCGAACGGUCUUUCUAUGGAAGCUUGCUUCCACUGAGAAGAUAGUGGCGAACGGGUGAGUAACACGUGGGUAACCUGCCCAUAAGAGGGGGAGUAACAUCCGGAAACGGGUGCUAAUACCGCAUAGUUUUCUUGAUCGCAUGAUUGAGAAAGGAAAGACGGCCUUUGUGCUGUCGCUUAUGGAUGGACCCGCGGCGUAUUAGUUAGUUGGUGAGGUAACGGCUCACCAAGACGAUGAUACGUAGCCGACCUGAGAGGGUGAUCGGCCACAUUGGGACUGAGACACGGCCCAAACUCCUACGGGAGGCAGCAGUAGGGAAUCUUCCGCAAUGGACGAAGGUCUGACGGAGCAACGCCGCGUGAGUGAAGAAAAGGGUUUUCGGAUCGUAAAACUCUGUUGUCAGAGAAGAACAAGUUGGAGAGUAACUGCUCCAGCCUUGACGGUAUCUGACCAGAAAGCCACGGCUAACUACGUGCCAGCCGCCGC